This 670-nucleotide unclassified non-coding RNA is filed under the name Hevea brasiliensis (rubber tree). The record is from RNAcentral. Lineage: Eukaryota; Viridiplantae; Streptophyta; Magnoliopsida; Malpighiales; Euphorbiaceae.
GCCAAUGCAUUGGAUUGCGUAACUACCGUUUUUUCUUUUGCUUUGUCUCUUCUGCUAUGCUGCUAUGCAUCUAUGUGUUUGCAAUAUGUGCUCUGUACAUCAAGGUGCUAAUGGAUAAUAAUCAAAGCACAGUCUUGAAGGCACUGAAAGAGUCACCAGCAUCCGUGGUUCUAAUGGCUUAUUGUUUUAUUUCCCUGUGGUUUGUUGGUGGACUCACUGGCUUUCACUUGUAUCUAAUAAGCACCAAUCAGACAACCUAUGAAAAUUUCCGCUAUAAAGCAGAAAACAGGAUCAAUGUCUAUGACCUUGGUUGUGUGAACAACUUCAUGGAAGUAUUUUGCACAAAAGUAAAACCAUCACGGAACAACUUCCGAGCUAAUGUACAAGAGGAAGAACCACGACCUCCUUUGCCCACUACCAGGGAAGCUGAAGUCGAAAUGGGUGAGGAUCAACGAGUGAAAGUAGAAGAUGAUCUUGAAUUUGGUGGAGACCUUCUAAAGAUCUCACAGCGUCAUAAUAUUGAAGACAUUGAAGCAGAGAUACGAAGCCGAGAGAGUGAUGUGCACCACCAUAAUUCGUCUGAGGCUGAUUCUGUUCUUGGGUCAGAUAGGCGAGCCCCCAAUGUGCAAGCAGACAUACGAAAUUCAAGCUGGGGAAGGAGAAGUAGGAG